CUGUGUAAUAUCGGUCGCCCACGUUAACAUUGGCUCGCGUCGCAGGGUCACAGCGUCGGUCCGAGGGACUCUUCGCGGUGCAAGCGUGAAUGCACCGGGAGGUAUGCGAGCGGGAAACUGGAAUUGCGUUUUCUUCAUUCCCUCGCGCGCAGCGCGGUGCGGCGCGGAUCAAUUAUAAAGCGUACGCGAGCGAACGAGCGAGCGAGCGAACGAGCGCGAGCGGGUAAUACGGAGUGUCAGUCGGCGUUUACAUUCGCUCCUUCUCGCGGGACGAGCGCGAACACGAGGAUGAAGACGAUGAGAGCCUGAACGGCCUAACGACUAGGAGUAACAAGUGCUGCAGACUUAAAGCUUUCACGGCCAUUGACGUUGCUUCCAAUAGAAAGGGCUUCCGGAUACAUGCUGCGUCCUACGUUACAGCGUUGCACCGAUGUUUCGCAAACAGCAAUUUACAUCAUCAGGGCUAGGAGCUCCGAUACUGAGAUCUCUUGGAUUGUAAUUGUCCUUAUAUACCCCUUGUCUUGACAAAAAGCAUGUGCAGCUAAAAAAAUGUACAUCACUUGACAUCCAUCUCAAUUACCACACGUUAUAUCUACGAGAAACUAACAUUAAAGCAACAUUGAAGAAAGCUUCAGCAUCUACCUCAUGUAACAGACGAACAAGUAGUGAAGCAUGAAAUUUUUAUUUUAGUAAUUUUUAUUUUUGUUUCUUUUGUGGCAGUGAUAGCAUCAGACGAUUACAUAGCUAAUGCAUCAAAGAAUAAACGUUCUGUAGUUCGACUUGUGGCAAAUAAUGAUACUGGCAUUAAAAUUUUAGAGACUAUUAUAAAACAAUCUGAUAACAAUAAAUGGUAUAACAGUAUCGGAUAAUAAUGAACGGUACGGAACGAUAUAUUCUCGAUUAAAUAAUGUAUCGGACUUAAAAGAACAGCGUGCGCGUUACCAUGAUCGGUGUAUGACGCGAUUUUAUAAUUAUCGACUGACUAAUAUUCCAGGACCGACUAAUAUUCCUAUUCCGAUAUAAUGUCUACUACUAUGCAAUUUAUAAUUAAUUACUUAUUGGAAAAUGCCGACAAAUGGCAAUUUUCAUUAAGAUAUAUUCUUGAACACCAUAAAACAGAAAAAAAACUUGAUCUUCGAUUUAUCUGUAAUAAAUUGCGCAAACGUUUCGGCAAUGACAUUAUUAUUGUUGCUGUGAAGAAUGAUUAUAUAAUUUCUUUCUUUGACGUCAGAGGUAAAAUUCUUUCUGACUGGUAUCAAAACCGAUUACAAAAUGAAGAAGAGGAACGUAGGAGAAUUGAAAUGUGGCACACAUAAUUCUUCAAGAUAUUCGAGGGCAUUAUUAUGAUAUUAAAAAUUAUCCUGCUCCAAAUUGUUUUUUAAAAGACGUUAAUUCCAAUGUGCCGCCUAAUUUAAAAUUAUUUCUUGAUAUUCUCAUAAAAAGUAAUAAAAAAUCUGAUGAUUGUAAAUGGAAUAAUAGGGUCUCUGCAUACAUUAUUUAUAUCGCUAAUUUUGUUAGGCUUGUCUUCCAUGUUACACAGCAAACAUGCAUCAAGAAACCUUAUUAAUUCAUUAGCUCAUAUCGGAAUUGCUCGUCAUACAGUGAAACUUUACUUUUUCAGGCAUCAAUUGUGCAAAACCCUCAGCCGUAUAAUCUUAACGAUUCUUAUCUCCAAUUUGUUUUCAACAAUGCUGGUCAUAAUACAAAUACCAUCGAUGGUCAGAAUACUUUUCAUGCUAUGGGCGGUAUAAUGUGUGUUACACUUUCUUCAUCAGUCACAUGCAAUAAAAAAGUUAAAAAAUUAAAAAAUAUUCCGUCUGCACAUAAAAUCGGUAAAUUUGGUUUCAUUAAUCUUAAGCAAUUUGAGAAACGUAAUUCUUUAGGCCUCAAUAAUAUUGUAAUAAAAAAUUUUAAUAUCGAUAAUCAAAUUUCGCAAAACUUUGAAAUAACUUAUACUGAUUUUUUAUGGUUUUAUGGAAAACACGCGAAACUAGGAAGAAUGACUGAUUGGAAUGGUUGGAUGGAGCAAAAAUGCGCGAAUAUGCUUUAUCUAAAAUUAUUCCUUUACCAUUUGUUAAUGCACCGCCUAAUAAUUAUAAUACGAUUUUGACAGUAUUGAUUGAAGCCGAUCGAAGGUGUAAAGAUAAUAAUCAACGGUAUACAUUUGUUACAUUUGAUCAGCCACUUUAUCUAAAAGUUCGAAAAAUUAUAGCUUGUUCAAAUGAAACUAAAAAUGAGUACAAUUUAAAUUCAGUAAUUGUCAAACUUUGUGAUUUUCAUGCAUUAAUGUCAUUUCUUGGCUUGAUUAGUUUUAUUAUGGAAGGGAGGGGAUUAAAAGAAGCUCUUUCUGAAAUAUACGCCGAGAACGCAGCUGAAAAAAUUUUAUCUACGCGUUUUCAAGAGCAGUUAGAGGUCAUAUUCUCGUUCAAAAUGCUUUAGCAGAUAUCAUUUUAUCUUCUCUAAAUCUUUCUGAAAUUGAAUUAAAGAUAUUAAAUGAACUGUUAAGUAAAAUGGAUCAGACUGAUUUUGGAACUCUUAUUGAAAACGAUGAUUUUCAACAGAUUAAAAGUAAGUUUAUAUUGCAAUUACAAUUACUUAAAAAUAAUGGACCAACGGUUCUCUUAUGGAUUAAAUAUUUUAUAAUGAUGGAAAUUGUGAAAUAAUUUAUACAAGUAGAAAAAACGGGAAUUUGGCCGCUACAUCUGAAAUGUAUGCAACAAAUGUUGCUAUUUUUUCAUGUAAGCGGACACAAUUUAUAUGUGAAAUCAAACCAUUUAUAUUUACAAGAUAUGCUUGAACUUGAAAAUGUAAUGGAUAUUUUUGAAUUUGAUAAAUUUUGUUGUUUAUAAUUAAAGGUCAUUUUAUAAUUAAACGCACAGAUAAAUAUCGGACAGGUAUUUGGUCAGAUAUGACUAUCGAGCAAAUGCUUAUGAAAUCAAUGAAAAUCAGCGGUAGUUUAACACAUAGUCGCGGAAUAACAGACAGCGUACUAUACAAAUGGAUUUUAUGUAUGAUUGUAUUGGUAGAAAUUUCAAAUAUAAUGGAAAAUUUUUGUAAUGUAUCGUAUUCGACUUCUGAGUAGCAUAUCGAUACAAGUAUGUCGAGAAUAUCUAGAGACAUUGCAGAUUCAAAAAAAUUGUUAGAAUUUUUUAAAGUUCAUGAUCCAUUUUCUGUAACAACUAAUAUUAUUUCUACAAGCACUGGCGUUGUUGGCGGCAAUAUAAAUUGUCAUAAAGCACUAGAAAUCGGCAUUUCUUUUCUAAAUAAAAUUGUUGGUAAAAAUUUCGACACAGUUAAAUUCAAAAACAAAAAUAAAGUACUAUCUUUAAAAGCGGUCUAUUCAUCAAUUAAAAUAAAUAACGAAAUUGUGGCAAUUAAUCGAACUUUAAUUUUUCAACGAAUUUCAUUGAACAUUGAAA
Long non-coding RNA from Monomorium pharaonis (pharaoh ant), 3419 nucleotides. RefSeq lists it as uncharacterized. Lineage: Eukaryota; Metazoa; Arthropoda; Insecta; Hymenoptera; Formicidae. The transcript is spliced from 2 exons. The record is from RefSeq and is a predicted model, not a curated record.